Molecule: long non-coding RNA, 2215 nt
Organism: Dromaius novaehollandiae (emu)
Lineage: Eukaryota; Metazoa; Chordata; Aves; Casuariiformes; Dromaiidae
Exons: 4
Source: RefSeq, a predicted model, not a curated record
CGGCCCCCCAGCGCCCGCCGCCAUCACUUCCGCUUUCCGCCGGCCUCACGUGAGGCGGCGUCCGGCCGCGAAGGCGGCUCGCGCGGCUGCCGCGGCGCCGCCGGCGGGUUCCGGGCGGCGAGGCCGCCGUGCGGGCGCCGGCAGCGGCUGCGGCUCGUGGGCCGUGCUGAGAGGCGUCAGCGGUGCGAGCGAGGGCUGCCCAGCAGGUCGCGGCCUGUCACGGAGAGACCGUCGUUGGCUGAGCCGGGGCUGGUCCUGGUGAAGGGCCUCCUCGACCUUUUGGAUCAUCCCGUUGCUUCUCGAUCAUAUUUUGGGUGUUUGAUUUCAAACGCCAAUCUCUUAGAGUCAUGAAACACUUAAAAAACAGAUUCGGUGCUUCUUUAUACACUACCCACAGAAGUGAUAAUCAGCCACGCUCAAAAUACAAAGGAAAAAAAAAGUUUGAGCUCUGAUCUACCAAAAGCGAUUGCAUCUAAGAUUUUUCAGUCUUUUGGAGCAUAAAGGUGAUUUUACCUCCAUUAUUAACUACGAAGCAAAUGCUAACUGCGUGGGGUGCACCAUCUCGUGUCUACUGUCCCGAGGGAUUUACAGCAGAUGAUGCAUACCAGUGUCAGAAACAAGACUGUUAUACCACAGUAAAAACCAUGGGUCAUCAUCCAGUUCUUAAAAAAUAUAAAGUGAAUCCACUCCAGACACCUCCGCAGCUGUAAGGGUUCAAGGUCCUUCCCUGCUAGUGCAAGAUACACCACUCCUUAUUUUAUAACUGCAAGAGCAGGAGUCUCUGUGUUCUUCUCUACCCAGGAAAUCCUUCUUCCCAUUGCUCAUCCCUCGCAACUACAGGAUCACAAAAGGUAUUUCUUGUAAGGAAAAUUCUCAUAUACCUGCACGAAGGAGAUCAGUUACACUCAAAGACAACAUUGAUCAGAUAUCUCAGAUGACCACAAAUACUGACAUUACAGCAGUACUGUGCAGUCUUAGCUUGUACGCAGCGGUGGUUUACACAUAGGGCUAAACCCUUUUUCUUCUGUAGUUAACUGUUGUGCAUGCCAAAUUAAUAGGCCAUUAAUAUGGGCACAAGCAGUGAAAGUCAAGUGAACAAAAUCAUGUAAGUAAACAAAGACCUCAAAACCUGCUUUCUAACAUUCCCUUAUUUCAGAGGGUUUUGGAUGACAUUGUGUUUCUACCGGAUAUUUUUAAUCUCAGUCCUUUCCUCUGAGGUCUCACAUUGUGUGAAAUCAAGUGGCUUCAUUCUGCUCAAAAGGAGCGACAACGUUUUCCCACAGACUCGAGUUCUGGCCUUUGGGUUUUGUUCAGAUUAAAUCUCUGCUAGAGAAAACCUCAUAGCUGGCUGUCCUAGUGCUGCUGAACGGUAUUGAUUUCAUGCCACCACGCUGCCAGAGUUUGUGUAGGGCCCACCGGUGCCCUGGCUGCUCCGUUCCCAUGACAACGCUCUGCAAAGCAGCUCCGUGUCCAUUUCCUGACUGCAUCAUUGCAUCCCACAGCCGGUCUGGGGCGCCACCUGCAACCCCAGACAAUCCUCUUCUACCAACUAACAAAAAAUGUUUUACAAGGAAAAAAAAAUACUUAACUGAAAUAGCGAUGUUUUGUUUGUCAAAACAGGGAGUAUGAAGCUCCCCGCCGCCCAAACACGGGAGGACGGCUGAUUUUGGGCUGCCAUUUCACACUGUGCGCUGCCGCUUGCUAAUGUAAUUGGGAAUGACUUUGUUUGUGCUCCAGGGACCGUGUUUGUUUUCACUGAUGCAGUGAAUUAAAAUAUAACCGCAGUUCAAGUAACUCCUGGUUUUGUGUAGUAGAGGGCAGUGAGCUGCCGGGACUGACUGUUGUGGAGAGGAAGGUCUGCUUUGGUUAGGGGAGAGCCUCCUCCUGCCUCUUCUCCAAAAGCCACGCACCUCUGGGAAUCGCCCCAGGCGUGAGGGAGCGCAGAGACAGCCUGACAGGGCAAAUACAGCAGUUCCCCAAAUACUCGUUUUCAGAGCUGAUGUUUUUCACUGUAUAGCUGAGAAGUGGGAGCACGAAGAUGAGCUCAGGGCACUGAGUCUGGGAGCAGUGGAGGAGAACAAGCUGGUGUUUCCUGGGUGCCAGCCCAGUGCAGCGCUAUCGUGGGUAAAAGGACAGUAUUCUUUUUUUUAGUUAAAAUUAUUUUUAAAUUUUUCUACUACAGAUUCUAAGACUUGCCUUGGCAGGUGCAUGCUGU